RNAcentral lists this ribosomal RNA (253 nucleotides) under uncultured bacterium. Its description in RNAcentral is "partial 16S ribosomal RNA". It matches the Rfam family "Bacterial small subunit ribosomal RNA", at positions 524 to 776 of the family's 1533-position model. The record is from RNAcentral.
UACGUAGGGCGCGAGCGUUGUCCGGAAUUAUUGGGCGUAAAGAGCUCGUAGGCGGCCUGUUGCGUCCGCUGUGAAAUCCCAGGGCUCAACCCUGGGCGUGCAGUGGAUACGGGCAGGCUGGAGGCAGGCAGGGGAGAACGGAAUUCCCGGUGUAGCGGUGAAAUGCGCAGAUAUCGGAAGGAACACCAGUGGCGAAAGCGGCUUCCUGGUCCAGCACCGACGUUCAGGCACGAAAGCGUGGGGAGCAAACAGG